GGGGAAUAUUGGGCAAUGGGCGAAAGCCUGACCCAGCGACGCCGCGUGGGUGAUGUAGGCCUUCGGGUUGUAAAGCCCUUUCGUGCGGAACGAACAGUCUCGCGACUAAUACUCGCGGGAUUUGACGGUACCGCAGGAAGAAGCACCGGCUAACUCCGUGCCAGCAGCCGCGGUAAUACGGAGGGUGCAAGCGUUGUUCGGAAUUACUGGGCGUAAAGGGCGCGCAGGCGGUUGUGCAAGUCAGUUGUGAAAUCCCCCGGCUUAACCGGGAAACUGCAUCUGAAACUGCAUGACUAGAGUACAGAAGAGGGAAACGGAAUUCCCGGUGUAGAGGUGAAAUUCGUAGAUAUCGGGAGGAACACCAGUGGCGAAGGCGGUUUCCUGGUCUGAUACUGACGCUGAGGCGCGAAAGCGUGGGGAGCAAACAG
This 428-nucleotide ribosomal RNA is filed under the name uncultured bacterium. Its description in RNAcentral is "bacterial SSU rRNA". It matches the Rfam family "Bacterial small subunit ribosomal RNA", at positions 356 to 775 of the family's 1533-position model. The record is from RNAcentral.